RNAcentral lists this ribosomal RNA (405 nucleotides) under uncultured bacterium. RNAcentral describes it as "bacterial SSU rRNA". It matches the Rfam family "Bacterial small subunit ribosomal RNA", at positions 355 to 774 of the family's 1533-position model. The record is from RNAcentral.
UGGGGAAUAUUGCACAAUGGGCGAAAGCCUGAUGCAGCAACGCCGCGUGAGCGAUGAAGGCCUUUGGGUCGUAAAGCUCUGUCCUUGGGGAAGAAAAAAAUGACGGUACCCUUGGAGGAAGCACCGGCUAACUCCGUGCCAGCAGCCGCGGUAAGACGGAGAGUGCAAGCGUUGUUCGGAAUUACUGGGCGUAAAGAGCGUGUAGGCGGUCUGAUAAGUCGAGUGUGAAAGCCCGAGGCUCAACUUCGGAAGUGCACUCGAAACUGUCAGGCUUGAGUACGGGAGAGGGAAGUGGAAUUCCUGGUGUAGAGGUGAAAUUCGUAGAUAUCAGGAGGAACACCGGUGGCGAAGGCGGCUUCCUGGACCGAUACUGACGCUGAGACGCGAAAGCGUGGGGAGCAAACA